AUACGGAGGAUCCGAGCGUUAUUCGGAUUCAUUGGGUUUAAAGGGAGCGUAGGCGGACGCGUCAGUCAGUUGUGAAAGCUUGCGGCUCAACCGUAAAAUUGCAGUUGAUACUGGGUGUCUUGAGUACAGUAGAGGCAGGCGGAAUUCCGGGGGUAGGGGUGAAAUGCUUAGAUAUCACGAAGAACUCCGGUGGCGAAGGCAGCUCACCGGGCCGGAACUGACACUGAUGCUCGAAAGUGCGGGUAUCAAACAGGAUUAGAUACCCUGGUAGUCCGCACAGUAAACGAUGAAUACUCGCUGUUUGCGAUACACGGUAAGCGGCCAAGCGAAGGCGUUAAGUAUUCCACCUGGGGAGUACGCCGGCAACGGUGAAACUCAAAGGAAUCGACGGGG
Molecule: ribosomal RNA, 393 nt
Filed under: uncultured bacterium
Lineage: Bacteria
Description: partial 16S ribosomal RNA
Rfam family: Bacterial small subunit ribosomal RNA
Source: RNAcentral